GAUGAACGCUGGCGGCGUGCCUAAUACAUGCAAGUAGAACGCUGAAGGAGGAGCUUGCUCUUCUGGAUGAGUUGCGAACGGGUGAGUAACGCGUAGGUAACCUGCCUGGUAGCGGGGGAUAACUAUUGGAAACGAUAGCUAAUACCGCAUGACAACAGUUAUUGCAUGAUAACUGUUUAAAAGGGGCAACUGCUCCACUACCAGAUGGACCUGCGUUGUAUUAGCUAGUUGGUGAGGUAACGGCUCACCAAGGCGACGAUACAUAGCCGACCUGAGAGGGUGAUCGGCCACACUGGGACUGAGACACGGCCCAGACUCCUACGGGAGGCAGCAGUAGGGAAUCUUCGGCAAUGGACGGAAGUCUGACCGAGCAACGCCGCGGGAGUGAAGAAGGUUUUCGGAUCGUAAAGCUCUGUUGUAAGAGAAGAACGAGUGUGAGAGUGGAAAGUUCACACUGUGACGGUAGCUUACCAGAAAGGGACGGCUAACUACGUG
This 495-nucleotide ribosomal RNA is filed under the name uncultured bacterium. Its description in RNAcentral is "partial 16S ribosomal RNA". It matches the Rfam family "Bacterial small subunit ribosomal RNA", at positions 28 to 507 of the family's 1533-position model. The record is from RNAcentral.